Molecule: long non-coding RNA, 763 nt
Organism: Bubalus bubalis (water buffalo)
Lineage: Eukaryota; Metazoa; Chordata; Mammalia; Artiodactyla; Bovidae
Exons: 2
Source: RefSeq, a predicted model, not a curated record
UCGGGACAUUUUCUCACCUUAAUUCAAAACAACCGUUUGUGAGAGACUGACCAAGUUGUCUGUGUGGGCCUCAAUUCUGCUGUCUUGUUUUAGAUGAAGCACCGCCAUCUCUGGGAAGCUGGCCGUGAUUUCUCAACGCCUGGAUUCCUCGCUGGGUGGCCCUUGUCUCUUUACAUACUUAAGCCCCUUACUGAGAAAGAGUUCACUGCAGCUGAGGAGUCAUUAUUCCCUAGGACUGGGUCUGCAAGCCCACCCAGUGCCUGGCAGAGAUGCCCUAUUGUAGGCGCUGCGUUGGUCUUCGAGGGUUGCCACAGGCUGGGUGAUUUAAACAAUGAAUGUUUGUUUGCUCACAGUUCUGGAGGCUAGAAGCCCGAGAUCAAGGUGUCAGCAGGGAGUCUAGAGGACUCUCAGGAGAAUCAGGAAGCCUUCUUGAAGCAAAGCACCAGCUGUUGGCUAUUCCCACUGCUCCCUCUUGAGAGCCAGGUCCCCUUGCCUUCCACAAACACAGACUCAUGGAUGUGACCCUGUGACCUCUCACCGGUUAAAUUGCAUUGGCUCAUGACCUAGUGCUCACCAAGAUCCUUUUCAAAAUGUUUCCUUCACAGAUUCUCUUUAGGGGCAAACUGGCCCCCCACCCCCACCUCCCAUCUGGCUCUCACUCUGGAACUGACAGCCUGAUCACUUCAGUUUGAAGAAAUAGUCCCCUCCCUCUUCUUUUUAUCUUUAAGUUUGAAAAUGGAUGGUAGAGAUAAUCUCUAAGCAU